Molecule: ribosomal RNA, 528 nt
Filed under: uncultured eukaryote
Lineage: Eukaryota
Description: SSU rRNA
Rfam family: Eukaryotic small subunit ribosomal RNA
Source: RNAcentral
GGACUACCAUGGCAAUUACGGGUAACGGAGAAUUAGGUUCGAUUCCGGAGAGGGAGCCUGAGAAACGGCUACCACAUCUACGGAAGGCAGCAGGCGCGAAAAUUGCCCAAUCCUGAUUCAGGGAGGCAGUGACAAGAAAUAACAACUCUCAACAUUGUUGAGAAGUGUAAUGAGGAUAAUUUACAAACCUUACCGAAAAGCAAUUGGAGGGCAAGUCUGGUGCCAGCAGCCGCGGUAAUUCCAGCUCCAAAAGCGUAUAUUAAAGUUGUUGCAGUUAAAAAGCUCGUAGUUGAAGUUCUGGCUGUAUUGGGCCUCUGCACUUGAUGCGAAGGAACCAGCAGUCAUCCGCUUGCAAAUACAUGUUCUUCCUUAACCGGUAGACUGUAUAAGUAAGCAAUUUACCUUGAGAAAAACAGAGUGUUCCAGGCAGGUUUGUCCGGAAUGCAUUAGCAUGGAAUAAUAGAAUAUGACUAGAGUCGAUUUGUUGGUUAAAGGCUUUAGUAAUGAUUAAUAGGAACAAUCGGGGGC